AGCGUACACGGUGGAUGCCCUGGCAGUCAGAGGCGAUGAAGGACGUGCUAAUCUGCGAAAAGCGUCGGUAAGGUGAUAUGAACCGUUAUAACCGGCGAUGUCCGAAUGGGGAAACCCAGUGUGAUUCGUCACACUAUCGUUAACUGAAUACAUAGGUUAACGAGGCGAACCGGGGGAACUGAAACAUCUAAGUACCCCGAGGAAAAGAAAUCAACCGAGAUUCCCCCAGUAGCGGCGAGCGAACGGGGAGCAGCCCAGAGUCUGAAUCAGCUUGUGUGUUAGUGGAACGGUCUGGAAAGUCCGACGGUACAGGGUGAUAGUCCCGUACACCAAAAUGCACAGGUUGUGAACUCGAAGAGUAGGGCGGGACACGUGGUAUCCUGUCUGAAUAUGGGGGGACCAUCCUCCAAGGCUAAAUACUCCUGACUGACCGAUAGUGAACCAGUACCGUGAGGGAAAGGCGAAAAGAACCCCGGCGAGGGGAGUGAAAAAGAACCUGAAACCGUGUACGUACAAGCAGUGGGAGCACCUUCGGGUGUGACUGCGUACCUUUUGUAUAAUGGGUCAGCGACUUAUAUUCUGUAGCAAGGUUAACCGUAUAGGGGAGCCGCAGGGAAACCGAGUCUUAACUGGGCGUUAAGUUGCAGGGUAUAGACCCGAAACCCGGUGAUCUAGCCAUGGGCAGGUUGAAGGUUGGGUAACACUAACUGGAGGACCGAACCGACUAAUGUUGAAAAAUUAGCGGAUGACUUGUGGCUGGGGGUGAAAGGCCAAUCAAACCGGGAGAUAGCUGGUUCUCCCCGAAAGCUAUUUAGGUAGCGCCUCGUGAACUCAUCUUCGGGGGUAGAGCACUGUUUCGGCUAGGGGGUCAUCCCGACUUACCAACCCGAUGCAAACUACGAAUACCGAAGAAUGUUAUCACGGGAGACACACGGCGGGUGCUAACGUCCGUCGUGAAGAGGGAAACAACCCAGACCGCCAGCUAAGGUCCCAAAGUCAUGGUUAAGUGGGAAACGAUGUGGGAAGGCACAGACAGCCAGGAUGUUGGCUUAGAAGCAGCCAUCAUUUAAAGAAAGCGUAAUAGCUCACUGGUCGAGUCGGCCUGCGCGGAAGAUGUAACGGGGCUAAACCAUGCACCGAAGCUGCGGCAGCGACACUAUGUGUUGUUGGGUAGGGGAGCGUUCUGUAAGCCUGCGAAGGUGUGCUGUGAGGCAUGCUGGAGGUAUCAGAAGUGCGAAUGCUGACAUAAGUAACGAUAAAGCGGGUGAAAAGCCCGCUCGCCGGAAGACCAAGGGUUCCUGUCCAACGUUAAUCGGGGCAGGGUGAGUCGACCCCUAAGGCGAGGCCGAAAGGCGUAGUCGAUGGGAAACAGGUUAAUAUUCCUGUACUUGGUGUUACUGCGAAGGGGGGACGGAGAAGGCUAUGUUAGCCGGGCGACGGUUGUCCCGGUUUAAGCAUGUAGGCUGGUUAUCCAGGCAAAUCCGGAUAAUCAAGGCUGAGGUGUGAUGACGAGGCACUACGGUGCUGAAGUAACAAAUGCCCUGCUUCCAGGAAAAGCCUCUAAGCAUCAGGUAACAUCAAAUCGUACCCCAAACCGACACAGGUGGUCAGGUAGAGAAUACCAAGGCGCUUGAGAGAACUCGGGUGAAGGAACUAGGCAAAAUGGUGCCGUAACUUCGGGAGAAGGCACGCUGGUGUGUAGGUGAAGUCCCUGCGGAUGGAGCUGAGACCAGUCGAAGAUACCAGCUGGCUGCAACUGUUUAUUAAAAACACAGCACUGUGCAAACACGAAAGUGGACGUAUACGGUGUGACGCCUGCCCGGUGCCGGAAGGUUAAUUGAUGGGGUUAUCCGUAAGGAGAAGCUCUUGAUCGAAGCCCCGGUAAACGGCGGCCGUAACUAUAACGGUCCUAAGGUAGCGAAAUUCCUUGUCGGGUAAGUUCCGACCUGCACGAAUGGCGUAAUGAUGGCCAGGCUGUCUCCACCCGAGACUCAGUGAAAUUGAACUCGCUGUGAAGAUGCAGUGUACCCGCGGCAAGACGGAAAGACCCCGUGAACCUUUACUAUAGCUUGACACUGAACAUUGAGCCUUGAUGUGUAGGAUAGGUGGGAGGCUUUGAAGCGUGGACGCCAGUCUGCGUGGAGCCAACCUUGAAAUACCACCCUUUAAUGUUUGAUGUUCUAACGUUGGCCCCUGACCGGGGUUGCGGACAGUGUCUGGUGGGUAGUUUGACUGGGGCGGUCUCCUCCCAAAGCGUAACGGAGGAGCACGAAGGUUAGCUAAUCCUGGUCGGACAUCAGGAGGUUAGUGCAAUGGCAUAAGCUAGCUUGACUGCGAGCGUGACGGCGCGAGCAGGUGCGAAAGCAGGUCAUAGUGAUCCGGUGGUUCUGAAUGGAAGGGCCAUCGCUCAACGGAUAAAAGGUACUCCGGGGAUAACAGGCUGAUACCGCCCAAGAGUUCAUAUCGACGGCGGUGUUUGGCACCUCGAUGUCGGCUCAUCACAUCCUGGGGCUGAAGUAGGUCCCAAGGGUAUGGCUGUUCGCCAUUUAAAGUGGUACGCGAGCUGGGUUUAGAACGUCGUGAGACAGUUCGGUCCCUAUCUGCCGUGGGCGCUGGAGAAUUGAGGGGGGCUGCUCCUAGUACGAGAGGACCGGAGUGGACGCAUCACUGGUGUUCGGGUUGUCAUGCCAAUGGCACUGCCCGGUAGCUAAAUGCGGAAGAGAUAAGUGCUGAAAGCAUCUAAGCACGAAACUUGCCCCGAGAUGAGUUCU
RNAcentral lists this ribosomal RNA (2771 nucleotides) under Klebsiella pneumoniae. RNAcentral's name for it is "bacterial LSU rRNA". It matches the Rfam family "Bacterial large subunit ribosomal RNA". RNAcentral also lists the same sequence under 1 other name. Lineage: Bacteria; Pseudomonadati; Pseudomonadota; Gammaproteobacteria; Enterobacterales; Enterobacteriaceae. The record is from RNAcentral.